CAGAGCGUGGCUGAUAUAGCAAAGCAUCUCCCUUACACCGAGAAGAUAUCCAUGCAAAUUGGAUCGCCCUGA
RNAcentral lists this transfer RNA (72 nucleotides) under Glyptothorax cavia. Its description in RNAcentral is "tRNA-Val". It matches the Rfam family "tRNA". From Rfam's summary of the family: Transfer RNA (tRNA) molecules are approximately 80 nucleotides in length. RNAcentral also lists the same sequence under 10 other names. Lineage: Eukaryota; Metazoa; Chordata; Actinopteri; Siluriformes; Sisoridae. The record is from RNAcentral.